ACUAGGAUGGCAGAGCCCGGCAAUUGCGAAAGGCCUAAGCCCUUUUACCCAGAGGUUCAAGUCCUCUUCCUAGUU
Molecule: transfer RNA, 75 nt
Filed under: Cabdio morar (aspidoparia)
Lineage: Eukaryota; Metazoa; Chordata; Actinopteri; Cypriniformes; Danionidae
Description: tRNA-Leu
Rfam family: tRNA
About the family: Transfer RNA (tRNA) molecules are approximately 80 nucleotides in length. Their secondary structure includes four short double-helical elements and three loops (D, anti-codon, and T loops). Further hydrogen bonds mediate the characteristic L-shaped molecular structure. tRNAs have two regions of fundamental functional importance: the anti-codon, which is responsible for specific mRNA codon recognition, and the 3' end, to which the tRNAs corresponding amino acid is attached (by aminoacyl-tRNA synthetases). tRNAs cope with the degeneracy of the genetic code in two manners: having more than one tRNA (with a specific anti-codon) for a particular amino acid; and 'wobble' base-pairing, i.e. permitting non-standard base-pairing at the 3rd anti-codon position.
Source: RNAcentral